RNAcentral lists this long non-coding RNA (468 nucleotides) under Rattus norvegicus (Norway rat). RNAcentral's name for it is "long non-coding RNA NONRATT025309". Lineage: Eukaryota; Metazoa; Chordata; Mammalia; Rodentia; Muridae. The record is from RNAcentral.
GUUCUUGGCAGCCAUGGGGAAAAGUGUCAGGCAAGUCCUAGGUGAGAGUUCCACUUCCUGCACUGACAGCUGACAAACGCUGAAGAGGACAGGCUGCCCUUAAACUGAGAGCCUUACUGAUGCCAAGGUCUCUCCACAAGAAGAGGACUAACACACUGAUUUUCAAAAGCCAAGCCAAGCUGACUCCCAGGCCAUGCUGAACAUCUCUGGGACGUUCCUGGUAGAAGCUGCCAGAAGAUGAGCGUAUUAUCCUAAGUUCUCACACCAGGAAGCAACUACACGAGCUCUAAGUCCAGUGCCAGCAGAGUCUGCUGGGCAGCGUUCUACUUCCUCAGGCUGUGUUCCCAGGCAAGAGUUAGGAGGACCAUGGAAUGACACCAUCUGAAGAUCACAAAAGAAACAACCCCACAUUCCAAUGCAGCGUCUGUUUGAUAAGUCAAAAUGAAAUAAAGGCCUUUCAUUGUUUCA